Molecule: transfer RNA, 65 nt
Filed under: Cavia porcellus (domestic guinea pig)
Lineage: Eukaryota; Metazoa; Chordata; Mammalia; Rodentia; Caviidae
Rfam family: tRNA
About the family: Transfer RNA (tRNA) molecules are approximately 80 nucleotides in length. Their secondary structure includes four short double-helical elements and three loops (D, anti-codon, and T loops).
Source: Rfam by way of RNAcentral
GGUAUAGCUCAGUGGUAUAGCACCUGCCUGGCAAGCAUGAGGCCCUGAGUUCAAUUUCUGGUACC